GUGCAAGUAGCAUAUGUUGUGCAAAACACACUGUAAAUCUCCAUGACUUCUGAGAAAAGACAUUUAAUGCACAGUCACCCCUCCAAAAAAAAAAAAAAAAAGUUAUAUUUGACACAGAUAAAAAUAAAUAAAUCAGACUACCUUUUUAACACAAAACAUAUUCCAGACAAGAUUACACUGUGUCAAAAUAGGUCAAUUCGUAAGCACCAGCUAGAAUUUAACGGUGGGUGUGAUUAGGAGCAAUUGCUGUCAUAAUAGCAUUUUGCGCUACACUACACCAUGGCGACAUUACAAUCUUCAUGUAUCUGGUGCUCAAAGAAAAGAUGGCAGAAAAAAGCAGUGUGUAUAGCAGCAGUUCCAUCUUUACCAUGCGAGAGGGUGACAUAACGUAGCAGUUACAACAUUGAUAUCCCAAUAAACACGGACUCAAAAUGACAAAUUCACAAAAUGCACAGAGUAAGAAAACCAUAAAUCCAUCCAGUUCUUCCUACAUACAGAUUUGUUAUGCCUUUAGCUCAAGAUACUGCAAAAAUAAUAUCCAUUGCUAUUUUCCGUGCAAGAUAAAUUACAUAAGGGAAUAUGCAGAAUUUUGAACGGUUACAAUCGCUGCACUGGACCCAUUAUAAAUAUAUAUUUAUUAUAUAAUCAUUUUUGUAGAGGGUAAAUGGAUCGGGGAAGGAGUUUGAGCAAAGGUUGUAACCCUAACAUAACUUUGUUUCCAAAAGAGAGCCUGCCAUUAAAGUGGAUCUGUCGUUUUAUUCUUCACAUGAGACAAAUUACAAAAUUCUGCCUAUAUUUUCUAAAAAGUGUGUUCAGUUGUUGUGUUGACACUUUACAUACUUUCUUCCUGAAGGUAAAGGCUUAAUCAAAAUGUGAACUAGCUUCUAGUACAUUCCCCUUUUUCUCACAAUAACUCGCCUUAGACUAACCACAGCUGUCAGGUUGUGUGUGUGCCUUGAUAAUAAUGCUUAUUCAGCCACCAAUCAAGUUACACAGCAGCAGUCAAUUAAGCUUUAGAUAGUGCUAUCAGGAAAAAGUAAUUAACAGUUUUAAAUUUUGAUUUAUCUCCUAAGUGUGCACAACAAAUAUUUGUAAACAAAACAAACCAGGAGAGGGGAACACACAAAAUAAGGAAUGUUAUUAAGACAGGUAAAUAUAAAAAAAAGACAGUUCCACUGAUACUACAAAAACUUAAAUGGGGAUUGUUAUUCUUUGCUACACCUAAUGAUGCAGCUCUGUUAAUGUAUGUUCCUUAGUUGCAUUUUGAAUCUAGGAGAUCUAAAUGAAUGUAAACAUGUGUCACAAGGGAAGGGAAUUUAAAUAACCACAGUUACAUAAAUGUAUGACUUUUUGACAUGGCACAGGUAGAAAUAUUUGGCACUUUGCAUUCAAGUAAAAAAUAC
Molecule: non-coding RNA, 1403 nt
Organism: Pelobates cultripes (western spadefoot toad)
Lineage: Eukaryota; Metazoa; Chordata; Amphibia; Anura; Pelobatidae
Source: the annotation of a GenBank genome assembly